CUACGGGAGGCAGCAGUGGGGAAUAUUGCACAAUGGAGGAAACUCUGAUGCAGCAACGCCGCGUGGAGGAUGACACUUUUCGGAGCGUAAACUCCUUUUAUAUAGGAAGAAGAUGACGGUACUAUAUGAAUAAGCGCCGGCUAACUCCGUGCCAGCAGCCGCGGUAAUACGGAGGGCGCAAGCGUUACUCGGAAUCACUGGGCGUAAAGAGCGUGUAGGCGGAUUAAAAAGUCAGAAGUGAAAUCCUAUAGCUUAACUAUAGAACUGCCUCUGAAACUCUUAAUCUAGAAUGUGGGAGAGGUAGAUGGAAUUUCUGGUGUAGGGGUAAGAUCCGUAGAGAUCAGAAGGAAUACCGAUUGCGAAGGCGAUCUACUAGAACAUUAUUGACGCUGAGACGCGAAAGCGUGGGGAGCAAACAGGAUUAGAUACCCGCGUAGUC
Molecule: ribosomal RNA, 439 nt
Filed under: uncultured bacterium
Lineage: Bacteria
Description: partial 16S ribosomal RNA
Rfam family: Bacterial small subunit ribosomal RNA
Source: RNAcentral